This 99-nucleotide small RNA is filed under the name Drosophila willistoni. RNAcentral describes it as "GK27537". The record is from RNAcentral. Lineage: Eukaryota; Metazoa; Arthropoda; Insecta; Diptera; Drosophilidae.
UACAUCUUCGACAUAGUAAAAAGUCUUUCUCAGGACGCUUGAGUACAGUUUAAAAGAGUUUUGAGUUUGUGCUAUGUGAACAGUAAAGUGAGUGCAGAG